GACUUACCAAACCAUUGCAAACUCCGAAUACCGAUGAGUGCGAGCUUGGGAGACAGACGUCGGGUGCUAACGUCCGGCGUCAAGAGGGAAACAACCCAGACCGCCAGCUAAGGUCCCAAAGUCAUGGUUAAGUGGGAAACGAUGUGGGAAGGCAUAGACAGCUAGGAGGUUGGCUUAGAAGCAGCCACCCUUUAAAGAAAGCGUAAUAGCUCACUAGUCGAGUCGGCCUGCGCGGAAGAUGUAACGGGGCUAAGCAAUAUACCGAAGCUGCGGCAGCAA
This 279-nucleotide ribosomal RNA is filed under the name Mucochytrium quahogii. RNAcentral's name for it is "labyrinthulid quahog parasite QPX partial Bacterial large subunit ribosomal RNA". It matches the Rfam family "Bacterial large subunit ribosomal RNA", at positions 933 to 1211 of the family's 2925-position model. Lineage: Eukaryota; Bigyra; Thraustochytrida; Thraustochytriidae. The record is from RNAcentral.